Molecule: ribosomal RNA, 609 nt
Filed under: uncultured bacterium
Lineage: Bacteria
Description: bacterial SSU rRNA
Rfam family: Bacterial small subunit ribosomal RNA (bases 1-521)
Source: RNAcentral
CCUACGGGAGGCAGCAGUGGGGAACUUUCCGCAAUGGGCGAAAGCCUGACGGAGCAACGCCGCGUGAGGGAUGAAGGCCUCUGGGCUGUAAACCUCUUUUAUCAAGGAAGAAGAUCUGACGGUACUUGAUGAAUAAGCCACGGCUAAUUCCGUGCCAGCAGCCGCGGUAAUACGGGAGUGGCAAGCGUUAUCCGGAAUUAUUGGGCGUAAAGCGUCCGCAGGCGGUCUUGUAAGUCUGUCGUUAAAGCGUGGAGCCCAACUCCAUUUCGGCGGUGGAAACUACAAGACUAGAGUGUGGUAGGGGCAGAGGGAAUUCCCGGUGUAGCGGUGAAAUGCGUAGAUAUCGGGAAGAACACCAGUGGCGAAGGCGCUCUGCUGGGCCAUAACUGACGCUCAUGGACGAAAGCUAGGGGAGCGAAAGGGAUUAGAUACCCCUGUAGUCCUAGCCGUAAACGAUGAACACUAGGUGUCGGGGGAAUCGACCCCCUCGGUGUCGUAGCUAACGCGUUAAGUGUUCCGCCGUCGGGUAGGUACGCGACGCAGUGUGAACGUAACGUAAGAAGUAGACGCGUGAGUAACGUGCCGACGACGACGACGAGGGAGGUUAGG